GUGCAGUGACCUGGUCUACGGCAA
RNAcentral lists this non-coding RNA (24 nucleotides) under Arabidopsis thaliana (thale cress). Lineage: Eukaryota; Viridiplantae; Streptophyta; Magnoliopsida; Brassicales; Brassicaceae. The record is from RNAcentral.